This 806-nucleotide ribosomal RNA is filed under the name uncultured Lachnospiraceae bacterium. RNAcentral's name for it is "bacterial SSU rRNA". It matches the Rfam family "Bacterial small subunit ribosomal RNA", at positions 93 to 917 of the family's 1533-position model. Lineage: Bacteria; Bacillati; Bacillota; Clostridia; Lachnospirales; Lachnospiraceae. The record is from RNAcentral.
GAGUGGCGGACGGGUGAGUAACGCGUGGGUAACCUGCCUCAUACAGGGGGAUAACAGUUGGAAACGACUGUUAAUACCGCAUAAGACCACAGCACCGCAUGGUGCGGGGGUAAAAACUCCGGUGGUAUGAGAUGGACCCGCGUUCGAUUAGCCAGUUGGCGGGGUAACGGCCCACCAAAGCGACGAUCGAUAGCCGAUCUGAGAGGAUGACCGGCCACAUUGGGACUGAGACACGGCCCAAACUCCUACGGGAGGCAGCAGUGGGGAAUAUUGCACAAUGGGGGAAACCCUGAUGCAGCGACGCCGCGUGAGUGAAGAAGUAUUUCGGUAUGUAAAGCUCUAUCAGCAGGGAAGAAAAUGACGGUACCUGAGUAAGAAGCCCCGGCUAACUACGUGCCAGCAGCCGCGGUAAUACGUAGGGGGCAAGCGUUAUCCGGAUUUACUGGGUGUAAAGGGAGCGCAGACGGCUCUGCAAGUCUGAAGUGAAAGCCCGCGGCUUAACCGCGGGACUGCUUUGGAAACUGCAAGGCUUGAGUAUCGGAGGGGCAGGCGGAAUUCCUAGUGUAGCGGUGAAAUGCGUAGAUAUUAGGAAGAACACCGGUGGCGAAGGCGGCCUGCUGGACGAAAACUGACGUUGAGGCUCGAAGGCGUGGGGAGCAAACAGGAUUAGAUACCCUGGUAGUCCACGCGGUAAACGAUGAAUACUAGGUGUUGGUGCCCGAAGGGCAUCGGUGCCGUCGCAAACGCAAUAAGUAUUCCACCUGGGGAGUACGUUCGCAAGAAUGAAACUCAAAGGAAUUGACGGA